RNAcentral lists this long non-coding RNA (3104 nucleotides) under Homo sapiens (human). RNAcentral describes it as "HSALNT0271653". Lineage: Eukaryota; Metazoa; Chordata; Mammalia; Primates; Hominidae. The record is from RNAcentral.
AAAACAAAUCUUUAAGAUUAUUUAAAAUAUAAAGGAAUAGUAAAAAAUAAUACAACUAAUUUAUCUGUUUGUAGUCGGAAAUAAUGUCUUAGACAAUUCACAAAAAAAAACAUUUGCACAAAAAGUGAUAAAUGUGAUCACAUGAAAAUUUGAAACUCAAUCCAGUUUUCAAAAUUAGUUUUAUAAAAAUGAUUUACAUGUAUUAAAAACAAAUUAAGGGAAAUGGAAGUCAGGUAACACACUGAGUCUUUUGAAUAUUUAGUAACAAUCACAUAGAAUAAAUCUACUUUUUCUUUGUCCAGUAAAAGCACUGUGAAAUUCAUGAAUUUUUAAAAAUUUCUCAGAACACUAUUUCUCUAUAAAGUGUGUCUAAUGACAUCAAUCUCACUGAUUACUGUAAGAUUUAAAUGAGAGAAGAUUUAUAAGGUGACUGAUGUAUCUUAAUUCUCUCUCAUCCAGAUGGGUGCCAUGCAAAAUACUGUUUAGAGGUGUUAUAAUUUCUGGUUUUUUUUUUUUUUUUUUUUUUUUUACCUAAUAGCUUCUUGAACCAAGGACAUGUAUUUGCUGCUCUUUUAGUCAUGUCUACUCUUGAAGAGUCCUGGCUCCCAGUUAAGAAGCUGUGUGAUUUUUCCAGGCCUAACCAUAAGCAAUCACAAAGGCCUUACCUGACAAGCCUCAGGAGAAAAACUACCUCUCCAAACUAGCUAGUGCACAGCCACUACAUUGCAGUCUCCAGAGAGUGUGACAAUAAAAAUCUCAGGCCCGCUGAGACCAUCAAACUUCAAGGAGUCACACAACUUGAGCCUUGGCUCCCUUUUUACUGAGGACCCUUAGAUAGGCCUCUGAGAAAGAUCUAACUGCUGUUUUCUCCAAAAUAAUGCCCCCUGUCAGCAGUUAAGAGCGAUCAUCAUCUUCAUCCCUAAUGGCAGUUGGAUGUACCGUUUCAGAAGAGGAAUUUAUGGCAGCAGCAGCCCAUCUGCUUCAAAGACGCUGACUUCAGCAGGGAAGGCGUGGCCGGGGCUCUGCACUCCAGGGAGCCAGGGGGAGCGGGUAACAAGUGGGAGCCACACCCGCUUCUGAGUUAAAGGGGCGAGAGCCCCGCCCUCCAGGACGCAGCUGCAGCCAUCCAAGCUUGGCUGCGGACCCAGGCAUUCCUAUCAACUCAAGGGCCUGGGAAGCUCCUCUGACCCUGCAGGCUUGGAAGUACCUGCUCCCACUGCCUGGCCUCUCCCCACUCCCGGGGUCCUCUCUGAUUUCAGAGCAAAGUUAAAGUCAAGCCCAGGCUCUGUCGCAACCCCUCUAGGUGUGCUUGCACUCAGGACAGCACUGACACACCAGCUCCCUGCUACCUCUGCCCCUUUUGGACUUUGGGCACCAAGGAGCAUGGGAGGGAGGCCGAGGUGGGGAUAAGGGCAGCUUGGCAUGGGCCUGCAGUUGGCGCUUGGCAUGAACAGCCUGGGCACUGUAGGCAACGUAGCAGUAGGUUGAUGGCAGCAGGAGACAGCUCCUGGGCAGAAAGGGGCGGGUCCCCAGUGAAGCCCCACCUUCAAGGCUGGGCCAGUCUGAAGCCUGGGGACUGGGCUGUCAGUUCUGCAGACCGGAGUGAGAACUUAUGAUGGAUUUUCCGGCCCACCAAUAGCUGCCCGUGAACUACAGGACAACCUGCCUGCUACUCACUUUGUCCGUGUACCUCAUUCUUGGACGCAGAACAAGAAGGCGAGACCCCCCAAAUGGUGAGACAGGAAGAGUUGUAACACAGAGGGCUGAAACACGUCCCUCUCCCCACCUCUUGCCAUGUUGCAGGCGAUCAGAAGAGAGAAGUGAGUACCUUCACAUCAACUCUAGAUGAUCUAGUUGGCUUGGCCUUGGAUCUAAUUCUGUGUAAGUUUGAACUUCUGGAGAGAUGAAAGUGUAAGAGUUCAGAGAGGUAAGCUACUGAAUGAUUCCAAACCUUGGUCAACUUACGGAGGCCUACAAUCAAUGGUUUGUUUGCGCCAGCAGUGCCAAUGAGUAAAACAAGGAGGCCAACAUGAAUAUGUGAUUACUCGACCAAAUAACUACACAUGGUUCUCAAACUAUGUGCCAAAGCAUCCUGGGGCAUCAUGGAAAAUUCACAAGGGUGCCCUAUGGUAUUUAACAUUUUUGAGAGAAUUACUGCAACAUUUGCCAGAAACUGUGCAUAUGACGAUGAUUAAAUUGUUUAGACCUAAUAUGUUUCAGUUAUAUUUUUCUUUUUGUCUAAGAGAAACGUGAAAAAAAUAAUGAAAUGCUAAGGGUGUUGUGCACCAAAAAUAGUUGAUGUAAAAAGUGUCCCCAUAAGAAAUCACAUAUGUACAGUCAUACAAAACCAUGCAAUAGUCUGGGCAAGGUCACUGUUUUAUAUCUAGCUCUCAUUAUUUUUCUCUUAUUUUCUCAUAUCUUAUUCUGACUCAUGAUGUGCUGCCACAGUUUCUCAGAUUUUCCUUCAAGGUGGGACUACAUUGAUCACAUAUGACUCUUCCUGUGAUGGUGGUCACACCAGUUGCCCGCAGUAUUUCCCAUUAAAAUGCCAUCAUCAUGAGGUGUGGUGUAAUUUUGUUAGAUAAUUUAACCCCACUUGGUCAGUUUCAUCCUGUGAUGAUGACUUUAUUUACUCUUGGGAUAUUUUAAAAAGUAAAAAGGACUCUAAGAGUAGGCUUGUUUCCUAUUAAUUUUUUUCUCUAGCUUUUCAUUUUAAAGUCGAAUUCUAGUUCUUUCUCAUCAAAACCUGCCUGUUCUAUUUCUUUUGAAUGUAUUAACUUUUCAAAUUGACACAUAAUACUUGUACAUAUUUAUGGGGUACAUGUGAUAUUUUGAUACAUGCAUACAAUGUGUAAUGAUCAAAUCAGGGUAAUUGGGGAUACUCAUUACCUCAAAAAUUUAUUAUUUCUCUGUGCCUUUUCUUCCUUCUGUAUCAUAGAUCCACUACCCUCCCAUUCUAACUUUUAUCAAUACUUUAUUUUCAAAAUGUUCUGUUUUACAUAUUUUUUUCUAUAGAGUCUGUCUUAUUAUAAAAUAAGUAAUUUUGUAAUAUUUGUCUUUCUUACUGUAUAUACUUUUCCACAUAUAUUAUGUUGCUACUGAAC